AUGUCAGCUACUCAGUUUACACACUACUUUUGUGCAUUCCAUCCUGUUUCUCAGUUUGACAUUCACAUUCAAAUUCAGAGUUUGACACUGAAACUGCUGGGAUUACAGGCAGGAGCCACCGCGCCCAGCUGGCAGUGCUUAUCUUCUAAAGUUGCAAUUGAGUUUUAUUCCACUGCAGAAUUUAUUCUGGAUUCCACUCCAGAAUCGCUUUUCAAAAAUCAUGCAGAUUUAAUGCCACCAGUUGUUUGUGUUAGGUAUCUACCCUGCAAAACAGCUCUAAAGGUGAUUUACCAAAAGAUUAACAGCAUUUAUCUCUGGUGGGAUAAUUUUUCUUUGCUUGCUUACCUGUAUCUUGCAGAUUUUACACAGUGAACGAUUGUAUAAUUUUAAAAUACAGAUAUGCACAAUUGUAUAAUGUAAAUAUGCUCAGCUUCAAUAAAUUUGUUUUAAGAACACAUUUUUAACUUUUCAUAAGGAGUCUUCAGUUUAAAAGUACAAUGUCAUAUUACAGAGUGUUACUCUGUUACAAAAUUAGUAAAGCUCAUUCUACCUCAAAAUCUGAAGUAAUUCCAACUUUUUUUUCAUCGUGCUUGAGUUUAGUUGAUAAAUAGCAUUUUAAGUACUAAAAAUGAUUGGAUGAGUAUUUCUCCAUUAAUAAGUUGCUGAGCACCAGGGUAGCGGAUGGAAGCCCUUUCUGUGUGCUAGGUUAAAACAUUUUACAUGAGGUCUUAUUUAACCCUCAACAGCCUUGUAGUUCCUAGAUGAACUGAUUGUUAGGCUAACCAGAGAUAUUAAUAUACCCUCCAGGAUAACCCAGCUAGUAAGGGCAGAGCCAGGAUGAUUCAGACGCAGACCAGAGCCGGGUAUUUUGUCCACAGUACUGCUGCUGCUUAUACCGUAACAGGAGAAGUACACAACAGUGUCUUACUGUUUCAUUCUUACAUGAAAAACACUUUUAAAAUAUUGAAACAUUAUAGAAGCAAAAGUGCAUCUCUAAAUGUGAUGUACUUUUAGGUCACAUUAUGUCCAAAGGAUUUGACCUAAAAUUAAUGUUGCUGUAUUAUGCUCCACACAGUAGGCUGCUCUGCUAGGGAAAUUUUUAAUAUUUUUAAAAAUAUUUUCAUAAGCUUUGGUUUUACCACUUCCAAGUCUGUACAGACUGGUUAUUUCUACAUUACAAAGACAGUGUCUCCCUCAAAGGCUGACAGUUUUUUUAUAGUCUGUGUUUGUAACAUAUACAUCUAUUCUUGCCAGAUGUGGGUCACAUUGCCAUCUGACCUCAGCAUCCUUUAUGUUAUGCUCCAACUUGGGUAAGCGGCUUUGUUUCCUUCCCAAUCUCCUGGUCAGACAGUUGACCUCACGUCUAUGUCUAGUGGUUUUCAAACAUCAGAGUAGCCCCUUGUUGGAGGGGCAGGGUUGGGGUUCCCCACUGUUUUUCACAUUGCCUUUCCAGGUAAGUUUUGGUCUGCGCUAAACCCUGCUUUUGCUUUGAGAUUCUCCCCCAACACAGCCAUACCCCACACCAGCUUGGCGCCUCUGGGAGACCGCAGCCCUUAGAGAAAAGGGGAAGAAAAGCUUCCUGACUACACAGGGCUGGAGGCGUCUGGCCUGGAGGGAGUCCUGUCAGCCAGUGUGAGCUGCUGGUGACAGGGAAAGACCAUGUGAAAAGGUCCUGACCUGCGGUUCAGGCCCUCGAGCAAAUGACACCAAAUUUGUCCCCCAAAUCAGCUUUGUUAUUCAAGAUGCGGCUUGCUAGCAGGUACUACUAACAAGGCGCAGCACCGUCUGGUAUCUUCCCAUUGGAAUCAGUUGUUACUGCUAACUAGGUAUUAGGUGUCUGAAAACCUGAUUUUACACUUAGACGCCCAGUUAUAUAGCUUUGGGAGGGAUACAGUUUUGAGGUGUGCAGUGACACUCUCACCUGCGAGGCAGAAGUGUGCUUGUUGGGGGAAGGCCAGAUAGGGGGUACACAGGGGUUGGCAUGCCGGGACACGCUUUUCCUGGAAGUGUACGUGCAGAAGGCCACAUCAUAGCCCAAGGCUCUAUGAGCACGAAAGGAACAUGGCGCGGGGCUGGGUGGGGGUCAUCUAGAUGAACCUGACGGUUAAUGACAGCAGGCUAAGAUGAGCCAAAUGUCCCUCUCAUUGGCCAACCUUGCCAGUGAGGCUGAAUGCUUCCAAGCUAAGAGUCUCCCCGUCCUGGACAGCACCUACAUGGACCCUGCCAGUGUCUGCCACCCGGGGUGCUUUCUGACCAGUUUGCUUGAGCUACAGUAAUUCAUUGGUUCAGCUUGCAGACUUGCCUUGGAGCCCUUCUAGCCAUGUAAGCUGACUUCACAUCUCAGACCUGACCCAUGGUAUGACUCACAAAUUACCUUUUCCGACAUUUUCGUGUCCUGGCCCCUUGUUGGCAGCAUGUGACCAACACUGGCCACCAAGGCCCAAGCUAGACUGGCCAACAGAGUGGGGAAGGCGGAGGGCUGAGGGCUGUGGAAACCACAACCGUUACUAGGUAGGAUUCAUUCUGCCAGUAGACUGAAAAGAAUGUCACCGAACAGUGUCGAGAAGGAGGAUAAGGAAGACCAUUGCGUGAUGCGCUGCUCAGCUGAGCAGACCUGGAGGCAGGCCCCUAAGGGAUAGCUUCAGGUGGGCCAAUGGGAGCAGCUGGCUUUCAAAAUGCCACUUAAAAGGGAGGCUGGCUAUUGGCCUACACUGCACAGGAACUUCCUGGCCAGAUGCUACAGGGCCUGGGGUCACCAGCAAGCCUAGAGCUGAGGCUCCCUGAGCCCAUCUCCAAAUACAUAAUCCGAGUGGGGCUGUGAGAGGCCAGAGGGGCAGUGCGGGACCUACUCCUAGAGGACUCACCCGCUCCCCAAAGGGCAUGUGAUCCAUGCCCCAGGCCAGUGCUGCUGGCUGAGUGUGAGGAAGCUUGGACUCCAUUCCUCAGGAGCCCAGGCACUUCAGCAGGAAGGCUGGGGACCUCUGGGGCCAGCACUGGGGGCAGAGCAAUAGACAAGACUAGAGGGCAGAGGGCACGUGGGAGCUAAGCCUGGGGAGAUAGGCAGGGGAGCUGCCACAGCUGGGUCCAACCCAAAGACUUCAGGGGCAAAUCUGCCACCCCAGCCAGCAUUGGGUUUCUCCAAGUCCUUCUCCUUUUGGGGUUGUGUUAUUUACCAAUUCCUAAAGGGGACCUCAGAGACUAGCUCAAAGGCCAUCUCUCUUACUGCAUCCUCCCUGGUCCCCUCAACAGGAAGCCAUGCAGAGACAGAGAGUAGUGCUUUCUGUGUGCAUUUCACCCAAAAACGCACACAGAAUGGAAACUAAACCAUCUCUUGGCAUGAAUGACUCCUGACAAUGACCCCAGAUUGCACCAGCCAGGCUGGGCUCAUCACCUUCCCCAGAUGGGAAGGCCCACCUGUGACCUGGCUAUUCUAGGACAUCACAGGCCAUCACAGGCCAAUCUGGUUCCCGCCCACCCCAUUCCACUGGAAGAUCAGGUCCAUUAAUUCACGAGAACAACUGAGAACUCAGAGAAGCUGUAACACUCAUGGUCAUGGUUUAUCACAGUGAAAGGAUAUAGAUUCCAAUCAAUCAGCAAGGGAAGAGCCACGUGGACAGAGGCCAGGAGAGACCAGGCCCCCUCCAUCAUCCUCCUCUGCUGGAGUUGCACGGUCAGUGCUUACUCCUCCCAGCAACGAUGUGCCGAAACACACAAAGCGCUGCCAGCUAGGGCCGCUCACCUGAGCCUUGGUGUCCAAGAUUUCUACUGGGGGCUGGUCACCCAGACAUGGCUGAUCCUGUUGGCUGAUGCUGGUUUCCAGCCCCUGCAGAGGUGGAGCUGACACCACUUGGCCCGAGGGACCCCCAUAGGUCACAUUGUUAGCAGAGACUAUCUCUUGGGGCUCAAGGCCCCCAGGUAAAUAAAUG
Molecule: long non-coding RNA, 3926 nt
Filed under: Macaca mulatta (Rhesus monkey)
Lineage: Eukaryota; Metazoa; Chordata; Mammalia; Primates; Cercopithecidae
Description: lncRNA (ENSMMUG00000054828.1)
Source: RNAcentral